GGAAGUAAAAGCCGUAACAAGGUUUCCGUAGGUGAACCUGCGGAAGGAUCAUUACCGAAUUGUCAAACGGGUUGUUGCUGGUCUUCAAACGGGGACAUGUGCACGCUCUGUUUACACAUCCACUCACACCUGUGCACCCUCCGUAGUUCUAUGGUCUGGGGGACCCUGUCUUCCUGCCGUGGUUCUACGUCUUUACACACACUCUGUAAUAAAGUCUUAUGGAAUGUAUGCCGCGUCUAACGCAAUACAAUACAACUUUCAGCAACGGAUCUCUUGGCUCUC
Molecule: unclassified non-coding RNA, 282 nt
Filed under: plant metagenome
Description: partial contains small subunit ribosomal RNA, internal transcribed spacer 1, and 5.8S ribosomal RNA
Rfam family: Eukaryotic small subunit ribosomal RNA (bases 1-54)
Source: RNAcentral